CGCCGGCGCAGUUCAUUCGCCGUCUUCCCGAUUCCGAUGGAAGCACCGGUGACCGCCGGCGAUGUGAGAUAUCAUCAUCUGAGUAAAUUGUUGCUAUUUUGAUCCACUGCUGUCUGAACUCCUCUGUGAUUCGUUUACAAGAAAAUCCUGGUGACCACUGAAAUGGAUGAGUCUCGCAAAUUUCGUGUAAAUUUCGAUUAAAUACGAACCAAAUUUGACAAACUUAACCAAACUUAGUGAAAUUCAGAUGAAAUGGGUGCGAAAUGCUGUCUCGGACCUCACCAAAAUAGGUGAAAAAUUCACCGAAAUUUGGACCUUUCGGUUCGAAUCCGAGAAUGCUGGUCUGAAUUCCCCCAUCAAGUGUUAGGUAUGGGCUUAGAAUUAAUCAGAGACAUAACCCUUAUUUACUUUAUGUAAAUUAUGCAGAAGCCUAGUGUUAGACCCCGCAAUUGUUUCUACUAAUGCAAUGACUUCUCUGAAGCAUGCAAAUAACUGGAGUACAUGCUAGGUGGAUUUCAUUUAACAUUUCUCUGUCUAUGAUUCAUACUUCCCCAAUCUAAUAUUCUCCCUAUGGUAUAACUAAAGUGAAUAAACUCAAUUGAUGGUUACAGUAGAAG
This 617-nucleotide long non-coding RNA is filed under the name Oryza brachyantha (malo sina). RNAcentral describes it as "long non-coding RNA (OBRA_LNC002557)". The record is from RNAcentral. Lineage: Eukaryota; Viridiplantae; Streptophyta; Magnoliopsida; Poales; Poaceae.